This is a long non-coding RNA of Dreissena polymorpha, 1181 nucleotides long. RefSeq lists it as uncharacterized. Lineage: Eukaryota; Metazoa; Mollusca; Bivalvia; Myida; Dreissenidae. The transcript has 2 exons. The record is from RefSeq and is a predicted model, not a curated record.
AGUGGAAACAAACAACUGUUUUUUUCUGGCCUGAUAGCAUCUAUCACGUGAACGUAUUUAACUACUUAAAGAAUAUUUAUAACGUUCCGUGUUAAAAAAAAUAUUCCUAGUGAUAGCCGUACACGCAGCGAGAACAAUUGUGGAAAAUGGCAUCAUAUUUUACAUGUAUCAUUGUGUUUCUUGUUUGCUGUUCACAGACCGCGUCAGAUCGUAUUUAUGUGCAUGCUAUCGUCUGCGAGGCAUCGUCCAUGAUCCUGGCCCGUCCCGACGGGAAAUACUUGGACGUGACAGGGCAAUAUAUGGCCGCAUUCGAGGAGGACACAUAUGCCCGCCUUUAUUAGUCCCGAUUACAACCUGUUACGCUCCGUCAACCAGUUACCGAGUGAUGAGAAAUUGCAAUGGACUCAACGAGUGUCACCUUUCUGCCACCAACGCCGAAUUUGGAGACCCUUGUCCUUGGAUAUUUAAAUAUCUGGAAGUAAAAUACAGUUGUAUUUAAAUCGAUAUGUUAUAUGGUGGGCGCAUCCAAAUCAUGACUGUUUUUAUAGCAGGCUGCACUUUUUCUGUUGACUUUUGUUAUUUUUAUAUCACCAAAAUGACUUUAAAUCAUAUAUUGUAAGAUGUAAAUAAACGCAUGCAGUAAAGUUUAUCUUACUAAUUAUUGUCAAACGGAAAACUGUUUUGUAUUACGUUUAUGACCAUAAAUAGCACACUUUUAUCAACAUCAAUGCAAUGGUGACUAUAUGUCGCUCACCAAAGUCUCCAAUACAAGUGGAGUGUUCAGCAUUUUGCCUUAAUUCACAUUAUUUGCUUAGCUUAUAACACCCCAAACGCCAUCGUGGCAAAGCUUUCAUUAGUUCACAAUUAAUCAUGUGGUGAUAUAUGAAAUCAUACUUGUGAUACUUCAACAAGUUCUUGAGAAUUAUGAGUAACCUUCUUCCUUUAUAUUGAAUAUUUUAUUCGGCUAGUCUAUUCAUAAUGGGAAGUUUUCAAAUGAAGUGCAUAUGUAAACAAUAUCAAACUUCUUAUUAUGUAUUUGAAUAUGUAUUUUUCUUUUACCGCAUGAACAUCCCUGUCUAGUAAGAGCUUUAAACACUUGGAAACAAGUACCAGCAAGAAGCUUUGCAAAUUGCCUGUUGUUGACCGACAUUUAUAUUCUAAAAAUAAACUAGCGUAAACUA